GAGUUUGAUCAUGGCUCAGGACGAACGCUGGCGGCACGCCUAACACAUGCAAGUCGAACGGAGAUAUUUUGGUUUACUGAGAUAUCUUAGUGGCGGACGGGUGAGUAACACGUGAGCAACCUGCCUCUGAGAGAGGGAUAGCUUCUGGAAGCGGAUGGUAAUACCUCAUAACAUAACGAAGCCGCAUGACUUUGUUAUCAAAGAUUUAUCACUCAGAGAUGGGCUCGCGUCUGAUUAGAUAGUUGGUGAGGUAACGGCUCACCAAGUCGACGAUCAGUAGCCGGACUGAGAGGUUGAACGGCCACAUUGGGACUGAGACACGGCCCAGACUCCUACGGGAGGCAGCAGUGGGGAAUAUUGCACAAUGGGGGAAACCCUGAUGCAGCGAUGCCGCGUGGAGGAAGAAGGUUUUCGGAUUGUAAACUCCUGUCUAAAGGACGAUAAUGACGG
RNAcentral lists this ribosomal RNA (450 nucleotides) under uncultured Bacillota bacterium. Its description in RNAcentral is "bacterial SSU rRNA". It matches the Rfam family "Bacterial small subunit ribosomal RNA", at positions 9 to 457 of the family's 1533-position model. The record is from RNAcentral. Lineage: Bacteria; Bacillati; Bacillota.